This 804-nucleotide long non-coding RNA is filed under the name Pan troglodytes (chimpanzee). RNAcentral describes it as "long non-coding RNA NONPTRT006424". Lineage: Eukaryota; Metazoa; Chordata; Mammalia; Primates; Hominidae. The record is from RNAcentral.
GGUACAUCCAUGCAGUGGAAUACUAGUCAGCCAUGAAAAAGAACACACAUAAAACAACUUGAAGGGACCUUACAGGUAUUAUGCUUAGUGACAAAAGCCAGUCUUAAAAGGUUCUAUACCAUGAUUCCAUUUAUGUAACAGUAUUGAAGGAACAACAUUAUGGUGAUGAAGAAGGGAUUAGAGGUUGCUGGGAUUAGGAGGGUGUUACUAUAAAAAGUAAGGAGGAGUUUUUCAGGGGCUAUGGAAGUUUUGCCUCCUCAUUGUAGCAGUGGUUACCUGAAUUGAUGUGUGUCAUACAAUUUCAUAGAACUUGUGUUGUGGGGGGCAGGAAACCACUCUCAGACCCAGUGAUUUGCUAGAAAGACUCAGGACUCAGAAACUGUUGAGCUCAGAGGGAGAGGGUGACCAGUCUCUGCAGUUGCAGCCCUGGUGCUGUUCUAAUCUGUAUCUUUUCCUGGUAAUAGACAUGGCUGUGAGCAUGACAGGUGUCAGUGAGCUCUGUGUGCCUCAUCAACGAAUCAUCCAACCUGAAGGUGGUUGUGGGAAACUCUUGGACCUGCAGUCAGUAUCAGAAGGCCUGGGCAGACUUGGCCAGCCACCUGGAGCACUGUGCCCUUAAACUCAGGGCAUUCACUGGUGACCCACACUGACACUGCUUUUUGGAGGACAAGGCAGAGGUGACCAUCCCAGUCUUGCCUGGAGGUCACAGGACGGUUGUCACUGCAGCCUCAGGUCUGCUGCAUAAUCCCAUGACCCUCCAGAUCUGAGCCAUGACCCACUCCGGGCCCUGCCGGCGGGGAGGCG